This 87-nucleotide transfer RNA is filed under the name Candidatus Campbellbacteria bacterium RIFCSPHIGHO2_01_FULL_34_10. RNAcentral describes it as "tRNA-Ser". It matches the Rfam family "tRNA". Rfam says of the family: Transfer RNA (tRNA) molecules are approximately 80 nucleotides in length. Their secondary structure includes four short double-helical elements and three loops (D, anti-codon, and T loops). Lineage: Bacteria; Candidatus Campbelliibacteriota. The record is from RNAcentral. RNAcentral also lists the same sequence under 1 other name.
GGAGAGGUGGGUGAGAGGCUGAAACCACCACACUGCUAACGUGGCAAGGAGUAAUAUCCUUCGAGGGUUCGAAUCCCUCCCUCUCCG